CUACGAUCUGUAGCUGGUGUGAGAGGACGACCAGCCACACUGGGAUUGAGACACGGCCCAGACUCCUACGGGAGGCAGCAGUGGGGAAUUUUGGACAAUGGGCGCAAGCCUGAUCCAGCCAUGCCGCUUGCGGGAAGAAGGCCUUCGGGUUGUAAACCGCUUUUGUCAGGGAAGAAAUAUUCUGGGCUAAUACCUCGGGAGGAUGACGGUACCGGAAGAAUAAGCACCGGCGAAGUACGUGCCAGCAGCCGCGGUAAUACGUAGGGUGCGAGCGUUAAUUGGAAUUACUGGGCGUAAAGCGUGCGCAGGCGGUCUUGCAAGACAGGUGUGAAAUCCCCGGGCUCAACCUGGGAACUGCACUUGUGACUGCAAGGGCGGAGUACGGCAGAGGGGGAUGGAAUUUCGCGUGUAGCAGUGAAUUGAUUACUCAUGCGUAGGAACAUCGAUGGCGAAGCCAAUCCCCUGUGCCCGUACUGACGCUCAUGCACGAAAGCCUGGGGAGCAAACAGGAUUAGCCACCCCGUAGUCC
This 529-nucleotide ribosomal RNA is filed under the name uncultured bacterium. RNAcentral describes it as "bacterial SSU rRNA". It matches the Rfam family "Bacterial small subunit ribosomal RNA", at positions 274 to 796 of the family's 1533-position model. The record is from RNAcentral.